UCGGUUUCUUGGAACCCUCCGCUCCUUUCUUCUCGAUUCAAUCCGCACACGUUGUUCUUUAAUCCUUCCACCGAUUUCUGUACUGGUAGGCGAUCGAUCGAUUCCGCGCACUUUUUGAAUGUCGAUUAGAGCGGGUAAACCCUGGAGGAUGGUUUCUUGGGUUCUGAUAUGGAGCAGAGGACCGGGGGGAGACCGGAGUUACCUUCGAUGAAUUCCCUUAUUGCCUUAGGAUCAUACCAGGUGGACCCAUUUGAUCCUUUAAUAGAGGAAUCUCAACUGCAAACUGCCAAUCAGAACAUGAUAUUGUCCAUACUGUAUGGCAGAACUGUAAAGUACAACUUCUUUGUGAACUGAACCAAAAAAUGAAGCUGCUAGCCUCAGCUCCUUUAUUAUCAUAUCUGGUAGUUCUUUUCUUCGGUCUCCCUCGUCUUCGGUUCCAAGAACCUCAGAAAUAGUUAUCAUAUCUAGCAGUUCUUCCAUGUGCCAACCCAGAAGCUACUUUAUAUGUUUGCCAUACUAGAAGGUAAUCUGAUUCUACUAGCAUGCUAAAUUUGUCUCUGUCAAGUUUUCGGAGUUACUAAUCUGAGUGAAUUGCCACAAGGAAAUGCGAAUCUAGAUGGUUGUAUUUUACUAUUAGAGUUUCUUGAUAGUUAACCUAAAUUUUUGGUGGCAGAGAAAAUAUGAAUUAGGAAGUCUUUGGAAAAACUGUUUUGUAGAUAAUUUUCAUGUGGCCUAUGCUGGUUAUUGGCCAUUACACAUAGCUUAUUUAAUUAACUGUCUCGGAUCAACUAUUCAUGCGGCUGAAUGAGUUAUUCUGAACCCAUUCCUCUGAGUGAUUAAUCUUGACGUGGAUUAUGAGGGUUAAAAUGACCUUCCAAUUUUGAGCCUAGGUUUGUUUACUCUAUCUCUACACAAUUCUUUGCAAAAGAUAAAUUUAUUUAUUCCUAAGAAGAUGUGUAUUCCCAUUCACUGAUUUCCUGUAUUCAAUAGAAUUAUGGUUGGGCUACCAUCUCAGGAGAGCAGGGGAUCAAUAUUAAUGAAGCUUUUGUCAAAAGAAAAGGUUGAAGGACUUUACUACAAGGAGCUUGCAGCAAUCACAGACGGAUAUACUGGUAGUGAUCUUAAGAAUCUCUGCAUUACAGCAGCAUAUCGUCCUGUUAAGGAGCUGAUUCAGAAAGAGAGAAAGAACAAAGGAAUUGAUAUUCAUGCGAAGCAUGCUUGCCUGGAUUUGUGCGUG
Molecule: non-coding RNA, 1237 nt
Organism: Musa acuminata subsp. malaccensis (wild Malaysian banana)
Lineage: Eukaryota; Viridiplantae; Streptophyta; Magnoliopsida; Zingiberales; Musaceae
Source: RefSeq, a predicted model, not a curated record